CCCAAAGUACAGUACCUAACUUCUCUGAAGAAUAUAAAUUCACAUAAAAAAAAAAAUAGAAACCAGUUUUUGAUUCAUUACCUACCCACCCACCUACUCCCCCCUCCUUCACCUCUACUCUUUCUCCUUUCAAGUCUCACAACACAAAAACUAAGUCCAAAUCUUUCAUUUGCUCAUUGCAUUAAUCAAAAGGGCUAAGGGAUUGAGUCAUUUCAGUACAAGUUGGGAUUUUCAAAGAAAAUGUCACUUACUGAUUCAGUGCAAAACAAACAGCCAGGUGUCAUCACCUGCAAAGCUGCUGUGGCAUGGGGACCAGGAGAACCAAUGGUGAUAGAAGAGGUGGAACUGAGUCCACCUCAGCCAAUGGAGAUUCGUGUUAAGGUUGUCUGUACGUCUCUCUGUCGUAGCGAUGUCACUGCUUGGUCGUCACAGGCUCAGGCUUCUAUAUAUCCACGGAUAUUUGGUCAUGAAGCAUCAGGGAUUGUUGAGAGUGUUGGGCAAGGAGUGACUGAAUUUGUAGAAGGAGACCAUGUGCUUACCUUGUUUACUGGGGAAUGCAUGAGUUGCAGACACUGUACCUCAGGCAAAAGCAACAUUUGCCAAGUUCUUGGAUUGGAACGAAAAGGUGUUAUGCAUAGUGAUCAGAAGACGCGGUUCUCUAUAAAAGGGAAGCCGAUUUAUCAUUAUUGUGCAGUUUCAAGUUUUAGUGAAUAUACGGUUGUACACUCUGGUUGCGCGGUCAAGGUCACUCCAAUUGCGCCUUUGGAUAAAAUCUGCCUCCUCAGUUGUGGAGCUGCAGCAGGUCUAGGUGCUGCUUGGAAGGUUGCAAAUAUCUCUGAAGGAUCAAAAGUGGUCAUUUUUGGUCUGGGGACUGUAGGGCUUUGUGUUGCACAAGGUGCUAAAAUGCGGGGAGCAUCUCAAAUUAUUGGUGUUGAUACGAUGCAAGAUAAAUAUGAAAAAGCAAAGGCUUUUGGAGUGACGGACUUUUUGAACCCAAAUGAUACUGAUGAACCCAUUCCACAGGUUAUAAAACGCAUAACUGAUGGAGGUGCAGACUAUUCAUUUGAAUGCAUAGGAGAUACAGGAAUGAUAACCACUGCUUUGCAAUCUUGUUGUGAUGUAAGGAUGGGGCUUGACUGUCACUCUUGGAGUGCCCAAACUGAAGCCGGAGGUAACAGCUCAUUAUGGACUUCUUCUUACCGGUAGAACAUUGACAGGAUCCUUAUUUGGAGGAUGGAAACCUAAGUCUGAAAUUCCUUCAUUAGUUGAUAUGUACCUAAAGAAGGAAAUCGAGAUAGAUGACUUGAUCACACAUAAUCUGCCCUUUGAGGACAUAAACACGGCUUUUGAUCUGAUGAAAAAUGGGACUUGUUUGCGCAUUCAUACACAUGCCUAAGUAGAAAGUUUUCCAAUGGCUGGCAACUAGUUGAAAUUAUUUCACGCUUUCUAUUACCGCGAUGUGGAAACAGCCAAUCACAGUGAACUGCCAGAAAUUUUGAUGUUGUAGUAUAGUGUAUGAACUCAUUUGCUAUCUUCUGUUGUUUUGAGAGAACAAUUUGAACUUUUGUUCAUAGAAGUGGAGUUUGCUAUUGAUAA
RNA transcript from Lycium ferocissimum, 1596 nucleotides. It is a transcript of the gene named alcohol dehydrogenase-like 6, with no coding region annotated. NCBI's taxonomy places the organism in Eukaryota, Viridiplantae, Streptophyta, Magnoliopsida, Solanales, Solanaceae. The transcript has 10 exons. The record is from RefSeq and is a predicted model, not a curated record.